Molecule: ribosomal RNA, 460 nt
Filed under: uncultured bacterium
Lineage: Bacteria
Description: partial 16S ribosomal RNA
Rfam family: Bacterial small subunit ribosomal RNA
Source: RNAcentral
CCUACGGGAGACUGCAGUGAGGAAUAUUGGUCAAUGGGCGGAAGCCUGAACCAGCCAAGUCGCGUGAGGGAAUAAGGCCCUACGGGUCGUAAACCUCUUUUGCCGGGGAGCAAGGGCGGGGACGUGUCCCGGCCCGGAGAGUACCCGGAGAAAAAGCAUCGGCUAACUCCGUGCCAGCAGCCGCGGUAAUACGGAGGAUGCGAGCGUUAUCCGGAUUUAUUGGGUUUAAAGGGUGCGUAGGCGGGCUUUUAAGUCAGCGGUAAAAAUUCGGGGCUCAACCCCGUCCGGCCGUUGAAACUGGGGGCCUUGAGUGGGCGAGAAGAAGGCGGAAUGCGUGGUGUAGCGGUGAAACGCAUAGAUAUCACGCAGAACCCCGAUUGCGAAGGCAGCCUGCCGGCGCCCUACUGACGCUGAGGCACGAAAGUGCGGGGAUCGAACAGGAUUAGAUACCCCAGUAGUC